UGGCGGUUCCUCGCACCGCAAAGUCGCUAACCCCGUCAGGCCCGGAAGGGAGCAGCGGCAGCGAUGGACGCGGGUGCCGAGGGUUAGCUGUUAUGG
RNAcentral lists this signal recognition particle RNA (96 nucleotides) under Gammaproteobacteria bacterium. Its description in RNAcentral is "signal recognition particle sRNA small type". It matches the Rfam family "Bacterial small signal recognition particle RNA". Rfam says of the family: The signal recognition particle (SRP) is a universally conserved ribonucleoprotein involved in the co-translational targeting of proteins to membranes. Lineage: Bacteria; Pseudomonadati; Pseudomonadota; Gammaproteobacteria. The record is from RNAcentral.